AUGGAGUCCACCAUGAAGCAGGCCAGGAAAGAAUACGAAGAGCAAGUGAGUGGCGGAGUCCAGCGGAUCCCGGAGGAAUGCCUGGAGAAGGCCAUCGGCCUGACCUCGCCGGCCGAUGCCUGCCGCGCCUCCGCGGUGUCGGCCGCGUUUCGAUCGGCGGCGGACUCGGACGCCGUGUGGGAGCGGUUCCUCCCGCCGGACUGCGACGCCAUGCUGGAGCGAGCCGUCCACGUCGUAGACUCCUCCUCCAAAAAAGAUCUCUUCAUGGAACUCAGCGACGAGCACAUCCUGCUCGAUGACGGCAAAAGGAGUUUUGGGCUCCAUCGAUCUACUGGAGCCAAGUGCUACAUGCUGUCAGCAAGCGAGCUGGCAAUCGCUUGGGGUAAAAUCGAUCUUUACUGGAGAGAGAGGUUGGACCCGGAUUCAAGGUUCCCCAUGGUCGCGGAGCUUAUUUCGGUCUGCUGGUUCAGCAUCUUCGGCGUGAUCAAUAGCAGGGAGCUCUCUCCCAGCACCCACUACGCGGCCUACCUCGUCUUCAAGCUUACUCACGAUGCCUCUGGCCUCAGCUCCCGCAGUCAGAUAUCAUACGUUGAGGUAGGCGGCCAAGUGGUGGGGAGCGCCCGCACGGCGUCUUUCCAUCCAUGCAACCGUGCUUCCUGCAGCGGCGCCGCCAUCGAGGAGGCAUCAUCUUCAACGAUGAGCAACAAUUGCGCCGUGAAUCAGCCGCAUGAGCACAAGGAGGAGGACGAAGGAGGCAUCGUGAGGUACCCGCGCGAGAGGGUCGACGGCUGA
This 792-nucleotide ribosomal RNA is filed under the name Triticum aestivum (bread wheat). RNAcentral's name for it is "partial small subunit ribosomal RNA". The record is from RNAcentral. Lineage: Eukaryota; Viridiplantae; Streptophyta; Magnoliopsida; Poales; Poaceae.